GUUGGGUAGGGGAGCGUUCUGUAAGCCUGUGAAGGUGUGUCGUGAGGCAUGCUGGAGGUAUCAGAAGUGCGAAUGCUGACAUAAGUAACGAUAAAGCGGGUGAAAAGCCCGCUCGCCGGAAGACCAAGGGUUCCUGUCCAACGUUAAUCGGGGCAGGGUGAGUCGACCCCUAAGGCGAGGCCGAAAGGCGUAGUCGAUGGGAAACGGGUUAAUAUUCCCGUACUUGGUGUUACUGCGAAGGGGGGACGGAGAAGGCUAUGUUGGCCGGGCGACGGUUGUCCCGGUUUAAGCGUGUAGGUGUGUGUUCCAGGUAAAUCCGGUUCACUUUAACACUGAGGCGUGACGACGAGGCACUACGGUGCUGAAGCAACAAAUGCCCUGCUUCCAGGAAAAGCCUCUAAGCAUCAGGUAACAUCAAAUCGUACCCCAAACCGACACAGGUGGUCAGGUAGAGAAUACCAAGGCGCUUGAGAGAACUCGGGUGAAGGAACUAGGCAAAAUGGUGCCGUAACUUCGGGAGAAGGCACGCUGACACGUAGGUGAAGUGAUUUACUCAUGGAGCUGAAGUCAGUCGAAGAUACCAGCUGGCUGCAACUGUUUAUUAAAAACACAGCACUGUGCAAACACGAAAGUGGACGUAUACGGUGUGACGCCUGCCCGGUGCCGGAAGGUUAAUUGAUGGGGUCAGCGCAAGCGAAGCUCCUGAUCGAAGCCCCGGUAAACGGCGGCCGUAACUAUAACGGUCCUAAGGUAGCGAAAUUCCUUGUCGGGUAAGUUCCGACCUGCACGAAUGGCGUAAUGAUGGCCAGGCUGUCUCCACCCGAGACUCAGUGAAAUUGAACUCGCUGUGAAGAUGCAGUGUACCCGCGGCAAGACGGAAAGACCCCGUGAACCUUUACUAUAGCUUGACACUGAACAUUGAGCCUUGAUGUGUAGGAUAGGUGGGAGGCUUUGAAGCGUGGACGCCAGUCUGCAUGGAGCCGACCUUGAAAUACCACCCUUUAAUGUUUGAUGUUCUAACGUGGACCCG
RNAcentral lists this ribosomal RNA (1030 nucleotides) under Salmonella enterica subsp. enterica. Its description in RNAcentral is "bacterial LSU rRNA". It matches the Rfam family "Bacterial large subunit ribosomal RNA", at positions 1223 to 2235 of the family's 2925-position model. Lineage: Bacteria; Pseudomonadati; Pseudomonadota; Gammaproteobacteria; Enterobacterales; Enterobacteriaceae. The record is from RNAcentral.